This 480-nucleotide ribosomal RNA is filed under the name uncultured bacterium. Its description in RNAcentral is "partial 16S ribosomal RNA". It matches the Rfam family "Bacterial small subunit ribosomal RNA", at positions 28 to 507 of the family's 1533-position model. The record is from RNAcentral.
GAUGAACGCUGGCGGCGUGCUUAACACAUGCAAGUCGAACGGAACUACUCCAAUGAGAGUCUUCGGAAAGGAUUUGGUUUAAUUUAGUGGCGGACGGGUGAGUAACGCGUGGGUAACCUGCCCUAUACAGGGGGAUAACAGUUGGAAACGACUGUUAAUACCGCAUAAGCGCACAGGAGCGCAUGCUCCGGUGUGAAAAACUCCGGUGGUAUAGGAUGGACCCGCGUCUGAUUAGCUGGUUGGCGGGGUAACGGCCCACCAAGGCGACGAUCAGUAGCCGGCCUGAGAGGGUGAACGGCCACAUUGGGACUGAGACACGGCCCAAACUCCUACGGGAGGCAGCAGUGGGGAAUAUUGCACAAUGGGGGAAACCCUGAUGCAGCGACGCCGCGUGAGCGAAGAAGUAUCUCGGUAUGUAAAGCUCUAUCAGCAGGGAAGAAAAUGACGGUACCUGACUAAGAAGCCCCGGCUAACUACGUG